AACAGAACAAACACAUUUUUUUUAUUGGAUAAACAUUUGAUAGAGCCAUUGCACAUAUUACAAUACGCUUGAUAACACAGUUGUUGUAAACAACCAAGUGGAGAGUAUGGAAGGCCAACUUUGCCAUGAUCUACAUUUGAGACUUUGUGACCUAUGCAUGUUGAAUACUACAAAAGCAUUCGAUGACAACAAGACUGUUUCGUGUUGACCCAAAAAUAAGGCAUAGGAUGGGCACACGAUUUAAAUGUCACAAAAAAGCAUAUAAAAUAUAUUAAACCCUUUCACUGCACUAGAGAGGGCACCACUAGUUUUAAAUACUUAUUUUCAUUUUAUUACUUGAUGAUAGCUGGAUAAAAAAUCUGUCAAAAAUUAUGUACACUUUGAAAGGGAAACAUUUUCUCAACUAAUUCCUAUGCUGACAAACCAAACAUCCUAAUGACAAUUACUUGGACAGUAGCUGACAGUGUAUUCAUUGUAAGACAGUUUUAUUUCGUUCCUUAGUUUUGUCAUAAAACAAACUGUCGCGUCUUAAAGCCAAUCUAAAACACGCAGCAAGUAAUAAACUAUAUCUCACAGAACUUAGUAACACACACACACACAUCAUCAAUAUUCUUCAAAAAAAAGUUCAAUUGAAAACUAUCUAGGUCAAUAUAAACGAAAGUCACGUGACUGCCAUCUAAUCUGGUUGUUGCAUUAAUCUGUACAAAGUGCUAGAAACAGGAUUGCAAUUCAAAACAAGUUGACUCUUAAAGUGUAGAAUUAUUUCAUUGUUUUAUUUAAUUCUAGAACUGAAGAGGUAUAAAAGUUCAGAUAGUGAUGUAACACUUCUCUAGUUGGUCAUCUCCGGAGAUAAUGACAUUUCCAAUUAUGUUCGUGUAGCUGUUGUUACAUGCUGUUAGUGGUUAUUUGUAUCUCUUCAUUAUCCAUUUUUUGUGUUCUGAACUAUCAAGUUUCUAGGGACGCUAGUUGUACCGGACGUGAUUAUGAGAGACAAGGCUCACAACUGGGACAUUGUCUCUACGUUAGCUUGGACAUAAAAAGCUCUUAAUUAUUCUUUACUAUCAGCAAUAAUUAUUCGAAUGUUGUAAGGAAGACAGCAUGAAGAGGUCAGUGUUUCACGUGGCUAAGAAGACCAUUGAGUGCGGACAACAUUUCUUGUUGAAAUGACUCAAACUCAGCCACUGGUUACUUGCAUCACUGUUAAUGAAAUGUUUCCAUACACAAAUACCCCAAUAACAAAAUGUCUCAGGGGGACCUGCUUAGACGUGAUAACCCAUUUAUUCAUCAAAAAUUUUAUCUAUCUAGCUGACAAAAAAAACAGCAAAAAAGAACAACCACAAAACUGUACUCGACAGAUCUUUUGAUUUUUAUGACGUCUAAAUGGAUUCUAAAACAUUCUGAAAGUUGCGUCAUUAUUCCAGCCUACAUCAGGACUUGAGACCAAGACCUCGUAGUCUGAAGAUUUUGUCAGGAUUGUGUUAGUGUUAGUUGGAAUGGCAGAACACUUUACAGAACAUAGUUUGAUUUGCAACAAUAUUCUUUUUUUUUUUGAAUGUAGUUUCUUCUAUGAAAAUUAUGACCUUAAACCUUAAUCAUUGGAAUUGUUAAAUUCUUUUGACAGCUUUCAAUGCAAAUAUAAUGUUCUGAAUGCAGUGUGCCAUACAA
Molecule: non-coding RNA, 1665 nt
Organism: Biomphalaria pfeifferi
Lineage: Eukaryota; Metazoa; Mollusca; Gastropoda; Planorbidae
Source: the annotation of a GenBank genome assembly